Molecule: ribosomal RNA, 219 nt
Filed under: Staphylococcus pseudintermedius
Lineage: Bacteria; Bacillati; Bacillota; Bacilli; Caryophanales; Staphylococcaceae
Description: partial 23S ribosomal RNA
Rfam family: Bacterial large subunit ribosomal RNA
Source: RNAcentral
ACCUCUGGUGUACCAGUUGUCGUGCCAACGGCAUAGCUGGGUAGCUAUGUAUGGACGGGAUAAGUGCUGAAAGCAUCUAAGCAUGAAGCCCCCCUCGAGAUGAGAUUUCCCAACUUCGGUUAUAAGAUCCCUCAAAGAUGAUGAGGUGAAUAGGUUCGAGGUGGAAGCGUAGCGAUACGUGGAGCUGACGAAUACUAAUCGAUCGAAGACUUAAUCAAU